GCUAAAGCAAGUAUUUUUUAGUACUAGUGUAACAAAACAAUGAGAUUUAUUAUUAUCCCCGUAAGCUGCGCGUUGAUUUUGGGCCUCUUUUCCUCCCUAACACCAACGUCUGCGUCUGCAGGGAUCAACGUGUGGCCGAAGCCUACAUCUUUGUCAUGGCCUCAUCCACAGGCCACUCUUCUCUCCCCAACCUUCUCCAUCUCCUCUCCCAACCACCCUUACCUCUCUCCCGCUGUCAAGCGCUAUCUCCUCCAAAUUCUAACCGAGCACCACCGACCUCUCGUCGACCCCGCUGUCAACCUCGUCAAUUCAUCCCCUUCCUUGCAGACUCUUGCUAUCAUCGUCGCCGAUCUCACCGCCCCACUCCAUCAUGGUGUCAAUGAAUCGUACAGCCUUUUCAUCCCCAGCACCGGGCCCACC
This 420-nucleotide unclassified non-coding RNA is filed under the name Hevea brasiliensis (rubber tree). Lineage: Eukaryota; Viridiplantae; Streptophyta; Magnoliopsida; Malpighiales; Euphorbiaceae. The record is from RNAcentral.